Molecule: ribosomal RNA, 492 nt
Filed under: uncultured bacterium
Lineage: Bacteria
Description: bacterial SSU rRNA
Rfam family: Bacterial small subunit ribosomal RNA
Source: RNAcentral
GAUGAACGCUAGCUACAGGCUUAACACAUGCAAGUCGAGGGGAAACGACAUCGGAAGCUUGCUUUUGAUGGGCGUCGACCGGCGCACGGGUGAGUAACGCGUAUCCAACCUGCCCACCACUUGGGGAUAACCUUGCGAAAGUAAGACUAAUACCCAAUGACGUCUCUAGAAGACAUCUGAAAGGGAUUAAAGAUUUAUCGGUGAUGGAUGGGGAUGCGUCUGAUUAGCUUGUUGGCGGGGUAACGGCCCACCAAGGCGACGAUCAGUAGGGGUUCUGAGAGGAAGGUCCCCCACAUUGGAACUGAGACACGGUCCAAACUCCUACGGGAGGCGGCAGUGAGGAAUAUUGGUCAAUGGGCGAGAGCCUGAACCAGCCAAGUCGCGUGAGGGAAGACGGUCCUACGGAUUGUAAACCUCUUUUGUCGGGGAGUAACGUGCGGGACGCGUCCCGUAUUGAGAGUACCCGAAGAAAAAGCAUCGGCUAACUCCGUG